UCGAUUGAGUUUGAUCAUGGCUCAGGACGAACGCUGGCGGCGUGCCUAACACAUGCAAGUGGAGCGACGAACCGGGCUUCGGCCCGGGGCAAAGCCGCGAACGGGUGAGUAACACGUGGGUAACCUGCCCUGAUGAUUGGGACAACCCGAGGAAACUCGGGCUAAUACCGAAUGUGCCCUCCGGCCUCAAGGCCGCUGGGGAAAGGAAGCUUCGGCCUCCGCAUCGGGAUGGGCCCGCGGCCCAUUAGCUUGUUGGUGAGGUAACGGCUCACCAAGGCAACGAUGGGUAGCUGGUCUGAGAGGACGAUCAGCCACACUGGGACUGAGACACGGCCCAGACUCCUACGGGAGGCAGCAGUGGGGAAUCUUGCGCAAUGCGCGAAAGCGUGACGCAGCAACGCCGCGUGGGGGAAGACGGCCUUCGGGUUGUAAACCCCUUUCAGUUGGGACGAAGCUUUGCCGGUGAAUAGCCGGUUGGAGUGACGGUACCUUCAGAAGAAGCCCCGGCUAACUACGUGCCAGCAGCCGCGGUAAUACGUAGGGGGCAAGCGUUGUCCGGAAUCAUUGGGCGUAAAGAGCGUGUAGGCGGCUCGGUAAGUCCGCUGUGAAAGUCCAGGGCUCAACCCUGGAAUGCCGGUGGAAACUGUCGAGCUAGAGUCCGGAAGAGGCGAGUGGAAUUCCUGGUGUAGCGGUGAAAUGCGCAGAUAUCANGAGGAACACCAAUGGCGAAGGCAGCUCGCUGGGACGGUACUGACGCUGAGACGCGAAAGCGUGGGGAGCAAACAGGAUUAGAUACCC
RNAcentral lists this ribosomal RNA (798 nucleotides) under uncultured bacterium. Its description in RNAcentral is "bacterial SSU rRNA". It matches the Rfam family "Bacterial small subunit ribosomal RNA", at positions 1 to 787 of the family's 1533-position model. The record is from RNAcentral.